GUGUCAGCCGCCGCGGUAAGACGUAGGUGGCAAGCGUUGCUCGGAAUCACUGGGCGUAAAGAGCUCGUAGGCGGUGGCGUAAGUCGGGAGUGAAAGCCCUCGGCUCAACCGAGGAAUUGCUCUCGAUACUGCGUCACUAGUCGGUCGGCGGGGAGAGUGGAAUGCUCGGUGGAGCGGUGAAAUGCGUAGAUAUCGGGUGGAACGCCGGAGGCGAAGGCGACUCUCUAGCCGACUCGAGACGCUGAGGAGCGAAAGCGUGGGGAGCAAACAGGAUUAGAUACCCUGGUAGUCCACGCUGUAAACGAUGGGCACUAGGCAGGGGAGCAUUGGCUUCCUUGCCGUAGCUAACGCGUUAAGUGCCCCGCCUGGGGAGUACGGUCGCAAGGCUGAAACUCAAAUGAAUUGACGGGG
This 411-nucleotide ribosomal RNA is filed under the name uncultured prokaryote. Its description in RNAcentral is "bacterial SSU rRNA". It matches the Rfam family "Bacterial small subunit ribosomal RNA", at positions 505 to 918 of the family's 1533-position model. The record is from RNAcentral.